This 253-nucleotide ribosomal RNA is filed under the name uncultured bacterium. RNAcentral describes it as "partial 16S ribosomal RNA". It matches the Rfam family "Bacterial small subunit ribosomal RNA", at positions 524 to 776 of the family's 1533-position model. The record is from RNAcentral.
UACAGAGGUCUCAAGCGUUGUUCGGAUUCAUUGGGCGUAAAGGGUGCGUAGGCGGCGCGGUAAGUCGGGUGUGAAAUCUCGGAGCUUAACUCCGAAACUGCAUUCGAUACUGCCGUGCUUGAGGACUGGAGAGGAGACUGGAAUUUACGGUGUAGCGGUGAAAUGCGUAGAUAUCGUAAGGAAGACCAGUGGCGAAGGCGGGUCUCUGGGACGGUACCGACGCUGAGACGCGAAAGCGUGGGGAGCAAACAGG